Molecule: RNA transcript, 1984 nt
Organism: Anneissia japonica
Lineage: Eukaryota; Metazoa; Echinodermata; Crinoidea; Comatulida; Comatulidae
Exons: 6
Source: RefSeq, a predicted model, not a curated record
CAACGCCGUACCAUGGCACCAUGGUACUUAGGCCUACUAGACCUAGACCUAUUAAAGAUGUCCUUAAUUAACUUCAUUUAAUGCAUCUUCUGGAGAAUUUCGAAAGGGAGAAGAUUACCAGUGACGAAAUCUGCGCACUGUCAGAUGCCCAACUUGAAAAUUUGAGUGUGACAACAAUUGGUGGUAGGCACCGACUAAGAAUAAAUUGUAGACAAACAGGAUCCAUUUUGUCUAGAUUUAUGCCAGCCAGACACAGCCCCAACACCAAAAAAGGAAAGCACUCGAAGACGCCAUGGACUCGGAAGAUAGUUUGCCUGUCAGAUCCAUCGACAAUAACACCAAAAUGUUGGCAAAAGCAACAACUAGCAGAAGCUGGGCUUAGUGAAAAUAACAUAACAGUACAUAACAGUAUAAAUCCGGAUGAAUUCCAGGAAGUACUAUAUGCUAACUUUCCCAAGCUGAGGGAUGGUGGGGUUUAGAGAUAAUAAUAUGCUUUGGGAGUGGAAGAAAGCUUACCCCAAUUAGGGGACAUAUUCACCCUGAAUAUAAAAGAAAAAUCAGGUCAAUGUAGAGUCUAUAUACGACCAAUUUAACAUGCACUAAACAUGGAUUCAGAAAGGGUAAAGAGGCAUAAUAUGAUCAGUUAUCAAUCAAUCAAUCAGUCAAAUUCACCUAUAUAGCGCAAGUAUUUAUUAAAUAAUAUUCAAAGGCACUCAAGUUAUGUGUGAAUUUGAAAGACAUCCUUAAGAACGUUCUAAUAGAUAAAAUAUAAGUGACAGUUUAUAAAUGAUUAUUAAUACAUCAUUUUUAAUUGUUUACUCUUUUAGGAAACUGAUGAGGACUCAGAAGAAGUGUCCUAAAUCCCAAAAUAACAUUUCAUUCUGUAUUUUAAAGAAACAUUUGGCAAGCUAUGCAAGUAGCAGACCUAGUCCUCCAUCAACCGUAUCCAUACCACCUGAAGAACAGAAAAUGAUACAUUGUAUGAUCUAGACCUCACUCAUAGUCAUACUCCUAAUGAAGUUCAUCACCAUCUAUCUUUCCUAUCAGGAAGGUGGAUCAAAAACUUCAGACGUCUACUUGACUGUUUUUUUGAGCUGAACCGAACUACACUUACCCACCAAGCAGUAUGUGACAUUUGUGUGCAGCUGACAGGGAAGAAUAAAAUAUAUUGUAAAUAAAGUAAUAUAAUGUAAAUAAUUAAAUAAAUGAAAAAUAAUUUAAUAUAUUUGUAAUUAAUGUAUAAUGCAGUAAUUGUUUCUAUGGUUCUAAUCAAUAAAUGCAUCACUAUUAUGUUCAGUUACAUGUUUGUCCAAGUUUAUUUAGUGUGAAUUGUACUUCAUGUUUUUGCAGCAUCAUAAUUUUCUAAUUAAAUAUUCCGUGGAAUAGCAGUCGUACAAUUGUGUUUUUUUAAUUAGGCAGCUGCUGUGUUUUGUUUUAAAAAAAUCAUGAUGCUGUAAAUUACAUAAUAUUCUUUAGUUUCUUUUUGUACAAAACAAAAUAUAGACACACUAUAACAUCAGAAGUUGGUGGCCAUUUUGAAUAUAUAAUUACAAUACCAAUGUUCAUUAAUGUACAACACCUUAGAAGUAGCAUGGUACUGCUGGAGAAACACCGAUGUCCAAGUCUGUUUAUUUAUCCAAGAUUUUUGUUUUGGUGGACAUUUUGAAAAAUGACAGCCAUUUUAAUGAAAGUAUUCUUGAAAUAGGCAGCUGAAUUUGGCAUAGAAUCAUUCCUAGAGAUCUGAAAACAUGCAAAAAUACUUACAACACAUGAUAUUAUUACUUUUUUUUUUAAAUUCUUAACAUUUAACUGUUUAAUGUGAAAUCUGAGGAAACUGGCGGCCAUUUUGAAUAUACAAUUAGCAAAGUUCGGUGAUGCAUAUCACGCGUAACGCCAUCCUCGUUCCGUUAUCAAGUGAUGGUUUUAUAGAUUUUUAAUUCUUUGGGGUCCAAGCCUCAAUAUAUUAUGAUAUAUUGCACUAUAC